Gossypium hirsutum (cotton) is the source of this 65-nucleotide non-coding RNA. The record is from Rfam. NCBI's taxonomy places the organism in Eukaryota, Viridiplantae, Streptophyta, Magnoliopsida, Malvales, Malvaceae.
UCCCAGUGAUGAAGAAUUCCCAUAGAUAGGAAGUGUCGUAUGACACUUUAAUCAGCGGCGGCAAC